UACGAAGGGGGCUAGCGUUGUUCGGAAUUACUGGGCGUAAAGCGAACGUAGACGGGUCUUUAAGUCAGGGGUGAAAUCCUGGAGCUCAACUCCAGAACUGCCUUUGAUACUGAAGAUCUUGAGUUCGGGAGAGGUGAGUGGAACUGCGAGUGUAGAGGUGAAAUUCGUAGAUAUUCGCAAGAACACCAGUGGCGAAGGCGGCUCACUGGCCCGAUACUGACGCUGAGGCACGAAAGCGUGGGGAGCAAACAGG
Molecule: ribosomal RNA, 253 nt
Filed under: uncultured bacterium
Lineage: Bacteria
Description: partial 16S ribosomal RNA
Rfam family: Bacterial small subunit ribosomal RNA
Source: RNAcentral